Trichobilharzia regenti is the source of this 46-nucleotide non-coding RNA. The record is from Rfam. NCBI's taxonomy places the organism in Eukaryota, Metazoa, Platyhelminthes, Trematoda, Strigeidida, Schistosomatidae.
GUACUGCCGAAGAGUCCUAAACUAGGACGAAACAGCUUUCCAGUAC